UCUCAAAUAGUUGAAACAAACUCACAAGCUCAUACAUGAACAAAACUACCUCAAUAGCCUAACUGGACAUGGGGUUACAUACAUGGAAAUUGCAGCAAUGUUGUUGCUGCCCGGUUAGGCGGUUACAACAGCGUCCUGUUAAACGACAACAAUGUUUUCAGAAAAUGAUAUAGUGACUGUUCAAGCAUAACAAGAAUACGUGCAUGUAAAGAAUUUGCAGAUACUUGCAGUUAGAUUGAAGCCAGGAGCAGAGAGAACCUCAAGGAAAUGUUGAAGUUGCAUAUAAUGAAGAACACGAGAGAAAGAACUCGAUAUAUAGUGUUGCAUAUUUCUCGGCUAUGCUAUUGAUUUGGAUCAUAUUC
This 362-nucleotide long non-coding RNA is filed under the name Solanum lycopersicum (tomato). RNAcentral's name for it is "long non-coding RNA (SLYC_LNC000991)". The record is from RNAcentral. Lineage: Eukaryota; Viridiplantae; Streptophyta; Magnoliopsida; Solanales; Solanaceae.